Molecule: long non-coding RNA, 1293 nt
Organism: Myzus persicae (green peach aphid)
Lineage: Eukaryota; Metazoa; Arthropoda; Insecta; Hemiptera; Aphididae
Exons: 4
Source: RefSeq, a predicted model, not a curated record
UCAAAUUAUUUUUUAAUAAUCUCAAUUGUUAAUUAUAUUAACAUGUUGCUGACAAAAAAGUCAAAUGUUUGAUGCUGUUAUGAGCAAUGUUCGUGGCUUAUUAUUGCAAAAGUAGCCAAUAGACAGUUAAACUAUAUAACUAUUUAACCAUUAAACAAAUAUGAUUCCACUCUAAAUCGCUAAAUAUGUACAUACAGCUAUGUCAUAAUGGUGUGGUGUGCGUUUAUUGAUGACUUUUAGUAUUAUUUUUUAGUUGUAAAUUCAUUAUAACUGAACUGGCAAUUCUUUUUCAGGUUGUUCUGUCUAGCAGUCCAUGCAAAAGUAGUCCAAUCAGUCUUCCAAAAAAAUAAGCAUUUCAUUUGAAUUCCAAGAAUAAAAUAAAUUAUACGGGCGUGCCUUAUACAGAACGAGACGUCACUGUUUACUGUAUAUCUCUUAAACAUAUGGAGAAAUCAUACACUUUGACAACAUUUUCUACUGUGUCGAAUACACAAUGCAGCAAAAUCGAAUUCUAGUUGUCUUAAAUGGAUGUCACUUGCAUUAGUUGAUGACACGGCCAAAACAAUAUUAGACUAGUAUGAAAAAGUUUGUCUUACCCGCAGGGAGACAAGGCUAGGCAAGUCAGUAUCUGCAUUAAAAGAAAGAAGCAACCAAGACCACCAGAAAUUAUUAGAUAGAUUAACUAGGUUAUACUUGUAUGCAGCAACUAAGGAAUUACUAUUGUAGACAAUGUAGUAUAGUUGAAAAUGUAAGCAACCUGGCAAUUAAAUGGGUUAUUCCAACUGAUGAUAAAGAGACUUGCCAAAAAAAAACCAAGAUUGUUUUUUGAUGAAGUAGAUGGUGACAGAAGGAUAAAUAUCACAUAAGGUAAUUUUAAAAUAAAAGUAUUUUUACCAACUGUUGACACAAUAAUAUGUCAACUUAAAAAUCGCUUUAAAGGUUUAUUUAACGUUAGGAGCAUUUUCAAUUUUUUGAAACCUCAAACACUUUUAGGACCAGAUAAAAAUACUUUUAAAGGAUCAUAUGACUUUAUAUAAAUGUAUCAAUCAGAUAUAAGUUCUGAUUUAACAAGUCAACUGAUAUCAGUCAAAGAAAUUAUAAAAAAUAAGAAUUUGAAUAGUAUAUUAAUGCUUGCCUCAUUUAUUCUCGAAAACGACUUUGCUACGAGGUAUCCUGAUAUAUAAGGAGCAUGUAUAAUUUAGCAGAAAACAGUAGAAUAGUCUUUUUCAAAACUUAAAAUAAUAAAAAACUAUUUGAGUAACUAUUUACUUUUUUUGAAAACUAUUUACUCAA